This 342-nucleotide unclassified non-coding RNA is filed under the name soil metagenome. Its description in RNAcentral is "partial contains 5.8S ribosomal RNA, internal transcribed spacer 2, and large subunit ribosomal RNA". The stretch from base 1 to 120 matches the Rfam family "5.8S ribosomal RNA", at positions 35 to 154 of the family's 154-position model. The record is from RNAcentral.
GUUGAAGAACGCAGCGAAAUGCGAUAAGUAGUGUGAAUUGCAGAAUUCAGUGAAUCAUCGAAUCUUUGAACGCACAUUGCGGCCAUAGGUAUUCCUUUGGCCAUGCCUGUUCGAGCGUCAUUUACACCCUCAAGCCUAGCUUGGUGUUGGGCGCCUGUCCCGCCGUUUUCGCGCGCGGACUCGCCUCAAAGUCAUUGGCGGCGGUCGUGCCGGCCCCCUCGCGCAGCACAUUUGCGCUUCUCGGAGGCCCGGCGGAUCCGCGCUCCAGCAAGACCUUUCACGACUUGACCUCGGAUCAGGUAGGGAUACCCGCUGAACUUAAGCAUAUCAAUAAGCGGAGGA